This 254-nucleotide ribosomal RNA is filed under the name uncultured bacterium. RNAcentral's name for it is "partial 16S ribosomal RNA". It matches the Rfam family "Bacterial small subunit ribosomal RNA", at positions 524 to 776 of the family's 1533-position model. The record is from RNAcentral.
UACGUAGGCAGCAAGCGUUGUUCGGAGUUACUGGGCGUAAAGGGUGCGUAGGCGGUCCUGUAAGUAUGGUGUGAAAUCUCCCGGCUUAACUGGGAGGGUGCGCUAUAGACUGCGGGACUAGAGGGUGGGAGAGGAAAGUGGAAUUCCUGGUGUAGCGGUGAAAUGCGUAGAUAUCAGGAGGAACACCGGUGGUGUAAACGGCUUUCUGGACCAUUUCUGACGCUGGAGGCACGAAAGCGUGGGUAGCAAACAGG